UCCUCGGUAGCUUAGUUGAUAGAGCAACAGGGCGUGAACCUGAGAGACCUGGGUUCGUAUCCCAGUCGAGGUUGAG
Henosepilachna vigintioctopunctata is the source of this 76-nucleotide non-coding RNA. Lineage: Eukaryota; Metazoa; Arthropoda; Insecta; Coleoptera; Coccinellidae. The record is from the annotation of a GenBank genome assembly.